This is a long non-coding RNA of Sorghum bicolor (sorghum), 6505 nucleotides long. RefSeq lists it as uncharacterized. The transcript has 8 exons. NCBI's taxonomy places the organism in Eukaryota, Viridiplantae, Streptophyta, Magnoliopsida, Poales, Poaceae. The record is from RefSeq and is a predicted model, not a curated record.
UUUGCGGCAAAAAAAAACCGCUGACCCCUCUUUCCUCGUCCUCUCCUUCCUCUCGACUCUUCUUCUCUUUCUCUUCGCUCCCUCCUUCCUCCCCCCGACACCAGCAGGGGCGACGGUGUCGAGCAACGGCGGCGCGGCGCGCCGGAGCCGCUAUCCUCCACCACCACCACCACCACCUCCUCCUCCUCCUCCUCCUCCCCUUCCCUUCCUCUCUAUCUCCCCUGAAUUCCUGAUGUGGCGGCAGGAGCCGUGGCUAGCUCGUCUGCCCGGCCCAAGGCAACGCACCAGCGCCUCCUCCGCUUCCUCCGCCACCCUCGUGUCCUCUCCCUUCCCCUCUCUCCGCGACCGUGGUCGUGCCUGCUCUGAGGAAACCCUAGGUGCCAUGGGGGCCUCCAAUCUGGCCACGGCGAAUCGACCCGGCCCUGUCGGUGGCCGCCGCCAUGGUUGUACGUCCUCCCUCCCCGGCGCUGCCUCCUUCCUCACCUCUCCGUGUGCUCCUGUGCUCUUCCUCUCCCCUCUAUAUGUGCUCCUGUGGUACAGGAAACCCUACUUGCCUGGGUAGGUCUUUGUUUUUUCUCCUCCUGUUCACCCGCAACGGCUUCCAAUGGCGCCCCGGCCAAGUUCUUCUCUCUUGUCUUCCAUGCCAGUGUUUCGUUUGCCGCCGAGGCGCCGACCUCUAGCGGACAUGCCCAGCUGAUGUUGUUGGUAGAAAUAUAAAUUAUGGUUGCAUCAAUAUGCAUUGUUUUACUUGAUUCAUUCUGAGGUUUUGGGGUUAUGGGAUGAUGAACUAUUUUUAGACUGAGACAAUGGAAUUACGAAAUGAUGUUUGAUUAUUUCAAUUUUCUAUGACUCUUGCUAUUUGCAUUAUUUUUCUGAUGACAAUGUCAUUAUACCUUGCCAUUUUGCUUUAGCGUCUGUUGUUUCGUUUUUGUUAAUCGCUACAUUUUGUGCAUUUGUUACUGAGCAUUGAUCCAUUGUCAAUGAUGUCUUCAAAUUAUCUGUUGGUUGUUCUAUUACUGACCACACCCCAUAGCCAAUGAUGUAUUUAUUCCUAGCCAUCUUUGUCCACUUUCUUGCUAGUCCACUUUCUUGCAUAUAUGAAACAGCUGGGACUAAGGUCCUAUGGAUCAAUUAGGUUAGAAAGUGAAAUGGUGGGUUCCUUUGCUUCUGUAGACUACUCUAAGCAAAUUUCUAUUCCAUUAAAUAAGGUACUGUGGAUGUCAGUUGCUGCAUCUAAUUACUGUAUCUAACGCUGCCUUUUUUGCUCGAUUUUAGUCAGUGACACAUUAGAUGCAGUAAUUACUAUGGUAUGGCAUGGAAGCUUUGAGGUCUUCAGCAAGUUGUGCAUUGGGUUGGUUUACCUGAUAACUCUGUCAUCACUACCAUAUGUGUGAUAAUCCCACAUACGUUCAGUUGAUUAAUAUCACUAUUGUUUCUGGUUCCCUCUCCUCACUGAUCUUGGCCUGCCCCCUAAGAGGUCGUCAGCCUCUGGCGCUCUCUUGUUUUAAAAAUGUGCAGGUCAUGAGCAGAACUAAUAUCCUCUGGUGUCACAUUAUCUACUGAGGUUUGGGGAUUGUGUGAUGAUAAAUUGUUUUAGACUGAGACAAUGGAAUUGUGCAAUGGGGAUUACUUAUUUCACCCUUUCAUGAAUCUUGCUAUUUGUAGUGGUUUUUUUAUAGCAAUGUCAUUAAAUCUUGGCAACUCUCUUCUGCAUUUGCUGUUUUGUUUUCAUUAAUUCCUGCACUUCAUGCAUUUGUUACUGAGGAUAAGUCCAUUGUCGAUGAUGUCUUCACUUCACAUAAUUUAUUGGAUGUUCUAUUACUGAGCACACCCCAUUGCCAAUGAUGUGUUUAUUUCUAUCCAUCUCUCUCUACUUUUCUGCAAAUACACUAAUCCAACAUCGUGUUGCCCCUCUCCUGGUUCUGUGGGGAACAUAUGCUACGUUUUCCCCUGCUGGUCAGUACAAUUUGCAGGACAAUAUUGAAAUGGGAAUUUCAGGGCAUCAAAUGAUAGGAUGACCAUUGUUAGUUACUGACUUCAUGAUUAGUGCAGAUACAUAGAUGAUCCUAAACAACAUACACCUGGAUCAAGGUACAUAUGACAUAUUUGGCUCAGUAAGUUAAAGCUUAAAUGUGGAUGAGUUUGCAAGGGUAUGAAUGCUUCUGAAAAUAAAUAACCAGCAUGGCACUGCAACUAUGCCUAGCAUGUCUUUUCUUAUUUUCCUUACCUCUUCUCUUCUAUUUUACAAUGAAUUUUAUUUAGUUGCACAUCAUAUAUCAUAUUGAGCCAUGGUUCCCUUUGUUUUUCUAACUGUAAUUUUACUUGGCCUAAUACUUACAUUUGUUUUUAUGGCCAACAUAUGCAACUGUGAAAAGUAUAAUUGGAGUGCUUCAGUUCUUAGCCAAGGUAACAUCCAAUUCAGGUUCUUCCUCUAUGUCCGUCAUUAUACUUUUCUCUUUAUAUUCACUCUUCAAACACUAAUUGUAUCCAAGAGAGCACUGGUGUCAUAGGUCUUGUUACAUUAUUUAGUGACUUCCUACAUGUUUCUCUUGUGUUGUUAUUUAUACAUGAUAGGAUGGUUUGCAAAUUUUUAUUUGGUUAGGUUCCUUACAUUACAGGAGCAUAGACCAUGGGACUUGGAAUUCUUCAUGCACUUCACUUUGAAAUGAAUGAUCCAAAGUUAUUUUAUUAGGUACUGUAGAUAGUAGAUGUCACAUUUGAUUGAGAUAGCAUGACCAUAUUAGGUUAGUUGAAUUCCUAAAAAUUACAAUACUUCUCAAAUUAAUACAGGUUCCAUACGUGUGCCCCAUCGGGUAAAAGAAGUAGUCAUAUGUGUUGCCAUGAAUUUUGUCAACGUGUGCCACAUCACAGUGAAGACCUGCCUGUUUUAUUCAUCGGGAUGCCCCUCGGCUGCCUGGCUGUUUCUUGUGUUCCUCAUGGCAACCAUGCAUGUUGGUCUGGUUUGUAUUCGGUUAUUUUGUUACUCUUGUUGCUUCUCUAUUGGAGUCUGCCUUGCUUCUUGUGGUUGCCAUGCACGAGACCUCUGCCAUGACAUGUCUGCCAUGGCACUUUUGACUACUGGAAAAUGAUUUGGAGCAAGUGCCAUCAUAUAUGUUCAGUUGUGAAACCAUGAUAGAUGUGCAUGGAAGUUUUCAAAACUUUUUAGUUGCAAAAAAAAAACUCAGAUCCACCGAACUAAUCCUGUUCGGACCAUCUUCUUACUGCAAGCAAUUUUUUGCGUUUACAUUUACUCACAGUAAAGCAUCCUUGCUUUUGUCAGCAACAACAAUCUAGAUGGUUUGGCAAUAAUGCGAUGCCAUGGCAUGAUCACGUUUGCCAUAAUUUAGGUCUAUGCCCUGCUCCAAGCGUAACUCUCUACCCUUUUCCAUGUGUCAAAUGAGCCUACAGAUUGUUUGGCCGGCCUUUUUAAUGUAGCUUAUGUUUAGCGUUUGCACUUUACUGCAGGUUGUAUAGUAACGAUCGAUCGAGAGCGAGCUGGACCUUCUUGCCUGUUUUUUUCCUUAUCGGUUCAUAUAUGCAUCCUGCUCUUUUGUUAAUUUUCAGUCAAUAUUUGUGAGACCUCUUCACCUGUCCAAUUUUGCGCUGCCCUCUUUCUUGCUUAAUCUAACAAGCUGCUACUGUGCUAUGCACUGCUUCUUGUCCUCUCUUCUGUUUAUUAGUCCAUUUCAUAAAUCAAUAGGUAUUUUGAGGAUGUGGAAAAUAAAUAUGGUGCAGACGUGCACUUCAAAGCUUGCAUAUGAUACCUGCAUUACAUCCCAGGUGGUGAAACAGAAAUGGAGGAAGUACGCCUCCAUUUUACCUGUAAAUUCAAAUGCUCUCUCAAAAUCACAUGUCAAUCACUAGAUGUUCUACGAGAUGAUACAACAGAUGCAUCCGCUCUCAUGCUUUCAGCACCUAUUGUUGGUUAUCAAGAGUUUGUGCAGCUUCACAUCUUCUAACUGGUCAUAGCGUUUUUAUAUUUGCAGCUUGAUUGCAAAUAUAAAUAGGCACAAAGUGAUAUUUAGCAGCCUAAAAAAAUCUCACCUACUUCGUGCAUAGAUGCUUAAUUUACAUUUUACCUGAAAUUUAUUAUACACAUCUUGCCCAUACAUGCCUUCUGCUGGUCUGUUUUUGUUUCCUUCUGAGUGCAUACAUGCAUUUUGAAUGGGUGCUUAUAUCCUCCUAAACCUUAUGGUUUUGUCCUCAUUUUCUGCAGGAGAUACCCCCAGCAAUCAUUCAACAGACCACUAGAAAUUUUGUCAAUGGUUGCUGGGUUGGAAUACAUAAGAACCCUGACAUAUUGAUUAAGACUCUUAGCUGAUUAAGAAGACAGGUAUCUACUCGAAUUUCCAUUUACUUUCGCAAGAUAUACAGAGACAGCCCUGCAACAAAAGGUCUGCCAAUGGAUCAAUGUUUGCUGCCUUCCAUUUGGCGUUUCAAUCCCCAGGAUCUCACAUAAGGUGAAUGAACGUGAUGAGUUGGCGUCUCUUAAGGAAUUCGCAGUGGAGACAGGGUCACAAUUUGAGAUGUGUUUCCCCCUAGCCUUCUUUGAUGUGAUGGUUCACCUUGUGGUGCACUUGGUUUCACGAAUAGAGGCAUUGAGUCCCAUGUAUUUGCAUGAGGUGUGGAUGUAUGAGCAUUUAUGUCAACACUAAAUGGCUAUGUAUCAACUCGUGCUCAUCCAGAGGCAUCUAUGGUAGAGGGGUAUUUAACCGAAGAGGCCAUUGAGUCCAGAGGUCCAUUCUGCAAUAGGGUCCUAAAAGUCCAGGUUGCAAUAGGUUUGCCUUCGUCACGACACGAGGGUAGGCUGAAUGGAAGGGUAGGAUGGGAAAGAAAUCAUACGUCCCAAAAGAUUACAAUUUAGUCCUCGAAGCACAUCACAGCGUCCUGCAUCAGCUCUUGAUAAUGGAGCCUUUGAUCAAUCUACACAUUGAAGAGCUUCGAAAACAUAAUCAUGGGCACACAGAUGAAUGGUUAAAGAAGGAACAUAAGAAUAAGUUCAUCUCAUGGCUAAGGGAGCUGGACAUUCCAGAUGGAGAAACACUCGAGGAUCGCACCAUCAAGGUCUUGGCAUCUAGGCCAUCACGCCAGGUCACGACUUGGCAAAUCUAUGACAUUAGUGGCUUCACAUUCUGUACCAAGUCCAAGGACCAAAAGGGCAUGGCACAAAAUAAUGGUGUUCGAUGCGACGCCUUAGACUCUGAAACUAGUGAGGAAACAACUUACUUUGGCUUCGUUGAGGACAUAUGGGAACUAGACUAUGGUACAUUUCAGAUCUCUGUAUUUUGGUGUCAAUGAGUUGAAGACAAACAUAUCACAGUGGACAACUAUGGGGUCAGAGUUCUAGAUCUAAGCAAGAUAGGCUACAAAGAUGAUCCAUGGAUAAUGGCUAACCGUGUUGCACAGGUCUUCUAUGCUAAGCAGGUCCUCUCUCCUAAUGAUAAGAAGAAAAUUACCGACCAUCCAAAGCACGUAGUUUUCCCUGGAAAGCAACGAGCCAUAGGAGUUGAUGGUGUAUCUGACCUGGAUGAAUUUAACCAGUUCAGUGACAUGUCUCUCUUUGUAGAUGACCAUCCAAUAAAGAUAAGGAAUGUUGAGCGAAGCAUUCCACAGAGCUCGUUGCCCAGGGUGCGUCACGAUGGACAAGGAAGAACAUUAGCUGCCUUGAUUUUAUUUGACAUUUGCCAUGUAAUUUAUUUAUGAUAAAAUGUGUACCUUAUCCUAUGUGCCCUUCUCUAUUUGUACAUCUAAGACCUACCAUGUCGUAACACUUUGGUUACUAAGCUAUAUUGAGUCCAUGAGCAUUUCGGUAUCGUAUUGGGCUCAAACUUUUUCCAAGGCUUACUAGUGCCAUUGAUGUUCAACCCACCAAGUUUAAGAUUUUUCUGAUGUGGUUUGUUACUUUAUCCAGUUUAAUUGAAUUUCCUCGCGACGUCACCCGCUAAUUAGCGCUUGAACUAAGUCUGCCCCUGAAAUGACUCUAAAUGGUGCCAAACUUCUCCACAGGGUCUCAUAUACCAUAGGAAAUAAAACUUUAUUGUGGUUGGUGAAAAAACCUAGUGGGAUCUAGGUGUAGUCCACUAUUUUUCAUCUAAUUUAGCACAAAGAAAAAUGUAAUAAUAUCUUGCAUGACCAGAAAAUCCUGAGAUCUUGUGUGGGGUCAUCAUUUGGGUCUAGAAGCUUGCCAAAAAAAUUUUAAGACAUUUGGAGAUAAGCAUAAGAUACAUGGUUCACAAACGUAGAAGAGCCAUUCCAUUGAACCAUGCUCAAACAUAUGGGUUCCUCACCUUUAUACUGCCAACGAUAAAUUGCACGAAUGAAUAUAUUUUUUAUAGCAUUUACACACUACAAUAAAGCUAACAAAUUUGGAAUCACAUUUUUCUGGUAUUCCUAGAAUUAUUUAUGUAUUAAACAAGAUAUGAGGCACAUAUUCAAUUUAAAUCAUUUUAAAUAAAGCUGCAUACAAAAGUACCUUAAACAUAAAAUUUCAUAUUUUUAACAUGUG